UACGUAGGGGGCAAGCGUUGUCCGGAUUUAUUGGGCGUAAAGAGCGUGUAGGCGGUCAGGUAGGUCGGUUGUGAAAACUGGAGGCUCAACCUUCAGAGGUCGACCGAAACCCCCUGGCUAGAGUCCGGGAGAGGAGAGUGGAAUUCCUGGUGUAGCGGUGAAAUGCGCAGAUAUCAGGAAGAACACCCGUGGCGAAAGCGGCUCUCUGGAGCGGUACUGACGCUGAGACGCGAAAGCGUGGGGAGCGAACAGG
Molecule: ribosomal RNA, 253 nt
Filed under: uncultured bacterium
Lineage: Bacteria
Description: partial 16S ribosomal RNA
Rfam family: Bacterial small subunit ribosomal RNA
Source: RNAcentral